RNAcentral lists this ribosomal RNA (468 nucleotides) under uncultured bacterium. RNAcentral describes it as "partial 16S ribosomal RNA". It matches the Rfam family "Bacterial small subunit ribosomal RNA", at positions 28 to 507 of the family's 1533-position model. The record is from RNAcentral.
GACGAACGCUGGCGGCGUGCUUAACACAUGCAAGUCGAACGGAAAGGCCCUGCUUUUGUGGGGUGCUCGAGUGGCGAACGGGUGAGUAACACGUGAGUAACCUGCCCUUGACUUUGGGAUAACUUCAGGAAACUGGGGCUAAUACCGGAUAGGAGCUCCUGCUGCAUGGUGGGGGUUGGAAAGUUUCGGCGGGUGGGGAUGGACUCGCGGCUUAUCAGCUUGCUGGUGGGGUAGUGGCUUACCAAGGCUUUGACGGGUAGCCGGCCUGAGAGGGUGACCGGCCACAUUGGGACUGAGAUACGGCCCAGACUCCUACGGGAGGCAGCAGUGGGGAAUAUUGCACAAUGGGCGGAAGCCUGAUGCAGCAACGCCGCGUGCGGGAUGACGGCCUUCGGGUUGUAAACCGCUUUCGCCUGUGACGAAGCGUGAGUGACGGUAAUGGGUAAAGAAGCACCGGCUAACUACGUG